This 648-nucleotide ribosomal RNA is filed under the name uncultured fungus. Its description in RNAcentral is "LSU rRNA". It matches the Rfam family "Eukaryotic large subunit ribosomal RNA", at positions 399 to 910 of the family's 3401-position model. The record is from RNAcentral. Lineage: Eukaryota; Fungi.
GUGAAAUUGUUGAAAGGGAAACGUUUGACACCAGUCAUGUGGGUGGAAAAUCAGUCUUUUGCAUUGGGGAGUUGUAAAGGUUCGGACCGCAAGGCCGGCUUUUGCUUCAUCUUUGGUGUAAGGGAUGCACUUUUUCAUCUACAGGUCAACAUCAGUUUCUUUUGCUGGACAAAACUCCGAGAGAAGGUAGCAGCUUAGGCUGUGUUAUAGUUCUGGAGCGAUACAGUGAAGGGGACUGAGGUUUUCGCAGCGUGUGCUCUCGGGCAAGGCUGGAUGGGUGCUAUGGGAUCGUUCGGGGUACAAUGCCUGGCAUUUUGCUUCGUGUCUUUUCUAUACUCGCUCAACUCAGCUCUUCCACGCUUAGGAUGUUGACUUAAUGGUUUUAAACGACCCGUCUUGAAACACGGACCAAGGAGUCUAACAUAUAUGCAAGUGUUUGGGUGGCAAACCCAUGCGCGUAAUGAAAGUGAACGUAGGUGCGAUCCGCAAGGUGCAGCAUCGACCGAUCUUGAUAUUUUUGGAUAGAUUUGAGUAAGAGCAUAUAUGCUGGGACCCGAAAGAUGGUGAACUAUGCCUGAAUAGGGUGAAACCAGAGGAAACUCUGGUGGAGGCUCGUAGCGAUUCUGACGUGCAAAUCGAUCGUCAUAU